This 216-nucleotide long non-coding RNA is filed under the name Homo sapiens (human). RNAcentral describes it as "non-protein coding lnc-SMIM2-4:1". The record is from RNAcentral. Lineage: Eukaryota; Metazoa; Chordata; Mammalia; Primates; Hominidae.
UAGGUGCAGGGAACAUGGGAAGAGGGGACCAAAAGGUGACGUUUUAUGGCAUGGGUCAAGGCAGAGCACCUGCAUAUCCCACCUGUGUAGAGCGGGAGCCAGGCAUGGUGGCUCACACCUGUAAUCCCAGCACUUCGGGAGGCCUAGCUAGGUAGGUGGAUCACCUGAGGUCAGGAGUUCAAGACCAGGCUGGCUAACAUGGCCAAACACUGUCUC